Molecule: ribosomal RNA, 774 nt
Filed under: uncultured Neocallimastigales
Lineage: Eukaryota; Fungi; Neocallimastigomycota; Neocallimastigomycetes; Neocallimastigales
Description: partial large subunit ribosomal RNA
Rfam family: Eukaryotic large subunit ribosomal RNA
Source: RNAcentral
UACUAGAGUAGCACUCGCAUAUCAAUAAGCGGAGGAAAAGAAACUAACAAGGAUUCCCCUAGUAACGGCGAGUGAAGCGGGAAGAGCUCAAAUUUGAAAUCUUAAAGGGUUUCCCUUUACGAAUUGUAGUUUAAAGAAGUGUUUUCUGUUGAGGUUUUGGUAAAAGUUCUUUGGAAUAGGACAUCAUAGAGGGUGAGAAUCCCGUAUUUGACCUUUACUUUCAACUUUGUGAUACACUUUCAAAGAGUCGGAUUGUUUGGGAAUGCAGUCCAAAAUGGGUGGUAAAUUUCAUCUAAAGCUAAAUAUUGGCGAGAGACCGAUAGCGAACAAGUACCGUGAGGGAAAGAUGAAAAGAACUUUGAAAAGAGAGUUAAACAGUACGUGAAAUUGUCAAAAGGGAAGCGUUUGACACCAGUGUUGUUUUUCUGAAAAUCAAUUAAAGAACUGUUUAUGCUAAGCUGUUUAGACUUUAUCAGCUAUCUGUUUAGUUUUGAGCUUUUCUUUAAUGCACUUUUCAGUUAACAAGUCAACAUCAAUUUCUUUUGCUGUAAAAAAGCUUGAGGAAGGUGGCUUGAGAUUCGUCUUAAGUGUUUAUAGCCUCUUGCCUAUGCAGUCGGAGAGAUUGAGGUCUGCAGCGUAGAUCCUUCGGGGCUAAAUGCAUUUGUGCUAAGUUAUAGCAUUUUAUAGACAACUUGUUGACUAUGAUUUGUCUUGUAGCUUACUCGCUUAUGUUAUUUUACCUACGCUUAGGAUGUUGAUCUCUCACAGUCGAGC